Molecule: ribosomal RNA, 1170 nt
Filed under: Pediococcus acidilactici
Lineage: Bacteria; Bacillati; Bacillota; Bacilli; Lactobacillales; Lactobacillaceae
Description: bacterial SSU rRNA
Rfam family: Bacterial small subunit ribosomal RNA
Source: RNAcentral
CGGGUGAGUAACACGUGGGUAACCUGCCCAGAAGCAGGGGAUAACACCUGGAAACAGAUGCUAAUACCGUAUAAGAGAAAACCGCCUGGUUUUCUUUUAAAAGAUGGCUCUGCUAUCACUUCUGGAUGGACCCGCGGCGCAUUAGCUAGUUGGUGAGGUAACGGCUCACCAAGGCGAUGAUGCGUAGCCGACCUGAGAGGGUAAUCGGCCACAUUGGGACUGAGACACGGCCCAGACUCCUACGGGAGGCAGCAGUAGGGAAUUUCCACAAUGGACGCAAGUCUGAUGGAGCAACGCCGCGUGAGUGAAGAAGGGUUUCGGCUCGUAAAGCUCUGUUGUUAAAGAAGAACGUGGGUGAGAGUAACUAUUCACCCAGUGACGGUAUUUAACCAGAAAGCCACGGCUAACUACGUGCCAGCAGCCGCGGUAAUACGUAGGUGGCAAGCGUUAUCCGGAUUUAUUGGGCGUAAAGCGAGCGCAGGCGGUCUUUUAAGUCUAAUGUGAAAGCCUUCGGCUCAACCGAAGAAGUGCAUUGGAAACUGGGAGACUUGAGUGCAGAAGAGGACAGUGGAACUCCAUGUGUAGCGGUGAAAUGCGUAGAUAUAUGGAAGAACACCAGUGGCGAAGGCGGCUGUCUGGUCUGUAACUGACGCUGAGGCUCGAAAGCAUGGGUAGCGAACAGGAUUAGAUACCCUGGUAGUCCAUGCCGUAAACGAUGAUUACUAAGUGUUGGAGGGUUUCCGCCCUUCAGUGCUGCAGCUAACGCAUUAAGUAAUCCGCCUGGGGAGUACGACCGCAAGGUUGAAACUCAAAAGAAUUGACGGGGGCCCGCACAAGCGGUGGAGCAUGUGGUUUAAUUCGAAGCUACGCGAAGAACCUUACCAGGUCUUGACAUCUUCUGCCAACCUAAGAGAUUAGGCGUUCCCUUCGGGGACAGAAUGACAGGUGGUGCAUGGUUGUCGUCAGCUCGUGUCGUGAGAUGUUGGGUUAAGUCCCGCAACGAGCGCAACCCUUAUUACUAGUUGCCAGCAUUCAGUUGGGCACUCUAGUGAGACUGCCGGUGACAAACCGGAGGAAGGUGGGGACGACGUCAAAUCAUCAUGCCCCUUAUGACCUGGGCUACACACGUGCUAAAUGGAUGGUACAACGAGUUGCGAAACCGCGAGGUUU